Molecule: small nuclear RNA, 293 nt
Filed under: Dasypus novemcinctus (nine-banded armadillo)
Lineage: Eukaryota; Metazoa; Chordata; Mammalia; Cingulata; Dasypodidae
Description: 7SK RNA (ENSDNOG00000026670.2)
Rfam family: 7SK RNA
About the family: 7SK was discovered as an abundant small nuclear RNA in the mid-70s but a possible function has only recently been suggested.
Source: RNAcentral
GGAUGUGAGGAUGAUCUGGCUGUGACUUCUGUCACCCCAUUGAUCACCAGGGUUGAUUCCGCUGAUCUGGCUGGCUAGACAGGUGUCCCCUUCCUCUGUCACUGCUCCAUGUACAUCCCUCCCGAAGCUGCACGCUCAGUCGAAGAGGACGACCUUUCUGGCUAGAGGAGGAUCGUUCUUUGGUCAAGGGUAUAUAAGUAGUUGUGCUCCCCUGCUAGAACCUUCAAACAAGCUCUCAAUACGUAGGGAGUGACACACAGGGCUAGGUCCCUUCAGGUUGGGAGAUAUGGGCU